RNAcentral lists this long non-coding RNA (2615 nucleotides) under Ananas comosus (pineapple). RNAcentral's name for it is "long non-coding RNA (ACOM_LNC013992)". The record is from RNAcentral. Lineage: Eukaryota; Viridiplantae; Streptophyta; Magnoliopsida; Poales; Bromeliaceae.
GUGAAGUAGAGAACCACACGAGGUGGAGCUUGGGGGAGUAGCCGUGGGGCUCGGAUUCAACGUCGACAUCGCGCCGCGGAGCCGUUCGAGGAUACGGUUGCAGUCGUAGCAUCGCGAGGAGUCCGGGCGAGGGCGUGGUUUCGCCGUUCUCGACGUCGCCCCGCGUUGGAUUUAGCAUACGAGGUGGGUUUAUCAUCGGAAUCCUACUCCUAUAAUAUUGUUCAUCGACAUGUAUCGUUAAUAUUACAAGUUGUUAUUGUUUGUUUAGCUCAAAUUCAUAAGUAGGUAUGUUUUAGACAUAUAAACUGAAUUGGGAGCAUGUUAUUAGUUGUUAUUAAUCAUACAUGUGGGACUUGGAUAAAACAUAGGAGAAAAUCGGCGUUCGGAAUCUGGCAUAUGUUGAAUUACUUGAUUUAGCCUUAGGGGCCGUUGUAUUUUUAUACAGUUAUUGUAUUCGGGUUGUGAGUACCCCAGGUAGUUUAGAAGACAUUUACGCUCGUGCUGAGAUGCCGAGCUUAUUUUUCAGCAGAGUUUAGGCUGUUUCGGGUCGUUGGGUGCCGUUCGGGUUAGCGGUGGACCCAGAUUCUUGUUUUGGUCACAGAUUGUGCCGAGGGCACGUGGGUUUGGUUUGUAGACCUGUUUUGACCAUGUUUACUUGAUUUUGGCUAGUUGGAGCCUGAUUGAGCUCGACAGAGAUACGCUGCAUACUCGGUUGGGUAGCGCCCACGAGUGCCACUCCGGAGUCAGGCUUUGUGCUUUCGCGUUUGUGUCGCUCAUGCCAGUUGGACCUGCUCUCCACGGACCAGUUAGUGUGGAUAGAGCUUGACAGUCACAACGGGGCAGGGACGGGUGUAUUCACAGUCCCGGGGACGGGUAUGCUUACAGUCCCGAUUAGAUUGGGUCAGGUUGGACAUUUCCUACAGUUGGUUAGUGUAGAGCAUGAUAGUGUAGUAUUUGAUAGCGGUAGACUUUAUUCCUGCAUUUCACUACUAUUCUUGCUCCCUUCUGUAGACUUAGUGGGUAGACCGAUGUUGUUUUGGGCGGUACCCACUGAGGACUACUUGUUUUUACAGUAGUUCUCACGCCCAGUUGUUACCUAUGUUUUUGCAGAGCCACAGGUUCCGGCUGCUGCACCGUCCGCGGAUCAGGAUCGAGGCAAGGGCGUUGCGAGUUAGAGCCCUAUCCGACGUGCUGAGCUAGAGAUGCUCCUACUGCAGGUAGAUGUUUUGUUUCGAGUUUAUGUACAUAGUGGACUUAACUCGCCAGUGCGAGUAGCUUUGUAUUUUGGAUCUGGACUAUGUAUAUGAAACUCAGUUUGUUUAGCUUCUGUUCUCUCCAGCAGCUCUCUACUACUGUUCGUGGUAGUGUUUGAUUUUCUGGUACAGCUAUCGCUUCGUAUACAGGGAAAAUUCCUUUGUAUACGGCGGAUUUGUCGGCGCGCCCGGGGAAAGUGUAAUCCGGGGCGUGACAGUACGCUUUGGUGAAUUGAUUAUAUAUUUCUAACAGCUCGAGCUUUUGGGAUUAAUAGUUAACGCCAACGAUCCGACAAGUGGUAUUAGAGUCAGAGGUCACUGGUUCGAUUCCCGCAUGCUGCAAAUAUGUUCAGGUGUUGGAGGGGAGAUUGUUAGCUUAAAUGAGUAAAUGAGUCAACAUCAUGCCCUGUGGCGGGAGACCAUGUUGGGCCGAGUCAUAUUCGAAAUGGCGUGGGGCUGGGUGGGCCGAGUCAUGUUCAACGGCGCUGUAUCUAUACGCUAAAGUUUUAGACUUUAACAUGACACAGGGCGGGAGACCAUGUUGGGCGGAGUCAUAUUCGAAAUGGCGUGAAGUUGGGUGGGCCGAGUCAUGUUCCACGGCGCUGUACCUGUAUGCUAAAGUUUUAGACUUUAACAUGACACAGGGCGGGAGACCAUAUUGGGCCGAGUCAUAUUCGAAAUGGCGUGAGGCUGGAUGGGCCGAGUCACAUUCGACGAUGCUGUAUCUGUACGCUAAAGUUUUAGACUUUAACAUGACGGUGCUGUAUCUGUACGCUAAAAUUUUAGACUUUAAUUUUACCCUAAUAUGGAGUUUCACGUAACACAGUUAUAUGUAAAAUUCAUGAUAUGUAGAAAACUAACACGGUACCUGCACUAGAAGUAACAUAUAAAUAUUUUAAUUAAGUUCUCCUUUUAAUUACACUUGUAACUUUCGAAUUCUAGGCGAACUGCGAUUGGUUAGGCCAGUUACUCAAAAGUUUGGUGGUGUAUAUGAUACAUAAAACAAUGGUAUUAGUACUUAUUUGAAAUUUCCUGAUAAUUUCACUGCAGAGAGAUUAAUCCAAGUACCUAACACCAGGCUCGUUAUUUAAAGCUAGGCUCGGUUUUUUUGUACAUGAAUAUGCAUCCAUCAUGAAAUCAACACUUGAUUUUUUUUCCGUAUACCACCAUCACGUUCACAGUUGACUCACAUGACUUUGCUUUGAAGUAAGCAAUGCUUGUCUUAAUAAAGGACAUUAAUGUUCACUCACCACAGUUCAUAGGAUCCAGUUUAAGGUUAACUUCAUAGAAAAAUACUUUGUUAUAUAAAUUCUAUAAUUUUAUAGGAGUUUUACUGAGCUAUUAACAGUAGUAAAUGGCAGG